GACGAACGCUGGCGGCGUGCCUAAUACAUGCAAGUAGAACGCUGAAGGAGGAGCUUGCUUCUCUGGAUGAGUUGCGAACGGGUGAGUAACGCGUAGGUAACCUGCCUGGUAGCGGGGGAUAACUAUUGGAAACGAUAGCUAAUACCGCAUAAGAGUAGAUGUCGCAUGACAUUUGCUUCAAAGGUGCAAUUGCAUCACUACCAGAUGGACCUGCGUUGUAUUAGCUAGUUGGUGAGGUAACGGCUCACCAAGGCAACGAUACAUAGCCGACCUGAGAGGGUGAUCGGCCACACUGGGACUGAGACACGGCCCAGACUCCUACGGGAGGCAGCAGUAGGGAAUCUUCGGCAAUGGACGGAAGUCUGACCGAGCAACGCCGCGUGAGUGAAGAAGGUUUUCGGAUCGUAAAGCUCUGUUGUAAGAGAAGAACGAGUGUGAGAGUGGAAAGUUCACACUGUGACGGUAUCUUACCAGAAAGGGACGGCUAACUACGUG
This 495-nucleotide ribosomal RNA is filed under the name uncultured bacterium. Its description in RNAcentral is "partial 16S ribosomal RNA". It matches the Rfam family "Bacterial small subunit ribosomal RNA", at positions 28 to 507 of the family's 1533-position model. The record is from RNAcentral.